GUACGGCUGAGGAGUUCCACAAUAGGACGAAACGUCCGUCCAGUAC
This is a non-coding RNA of Schistosoma haematobium, 46 nucleotides long. NCBI's taxonomy places the organism in Eukaryota, Metazoa, Platyhelminthes, Trematoda, Strigeidida, Schistosomatidae. The record is from Rfam.